This 414-nucleotide ribosomal RNA is filed under the name uncultured bacterium. RNAcentral describes it as "bacterial SSU rRNA". It matches the Rfam family "Bacterial small subunit ribosomal RNA", at positions 28 to 440 of the family's 1533-position model. The record is from RNAcentral.
GACGAACGCUGGCGGCGUGCUUAACACAUGCAAGUCGAACGGAAAGGCCCUGCUUUUGUGGGGUGCUCGAGUGGCGAACGGGUGAGUAACACGUGAGUAACCUGCCCUUGACUUUGGGAUAACUUCAGGAAACUGGGGCUAAUACCGGAUAGGAGCUCCUGCUGCAUGGUGGGGGUUGGAAAGUUUCGGCGGUUGGGGAUGGACUCGCGGCUUAUCAGCUUGUUGGUGGGGUAGUGGCUUACCAAGGCUUUGACGGGUAGCCGGCCUGAGAGGGUGACCGGCCACAUUGGGACUGAGAUACGGCCCAGACUCCUACGGGAGGCAGCAGUGGGGAAUAUUGCACAAUGGGCGGAAGCCUGAUGCAGCAACGCCGCGUGCGGGAUGACGGCCUUCGGGUUGUAAACCGCUUUCGCC